GCCAGGUGUAGCUCAAUUGGUAGAGCAACUGACUUGUAAUCAGUAGGUUGGGGGUUCAAGUCCUCUCGCCGGCACCA
This 77-nucleotide transfer RNA is filed under the name Paenibacillus sp. D2_2. RNAcentral describes it as "tRNA-Thr". It matches the Rfam family "tRNA". Rfam says of the family: Transfer RNA (tRNA) molecules are approximately 80 nucleotides in length. Their secondary structure includes four short double-helical elements and three loops (D, anti-codon, and T loops). Further hydrogen bonds mediate the characteristic L-shaped molecular structure. tRNAs have two regions of fundamental functional importance: the anti-codon, which is responsible for specific mRNA codon recognition, and the 3' end, to which the tRNAs corresponding amino acid is attached (by aminoacyl-tRNA synthetases). tRNAs cope with the degeneracy of the genetic code in two manners: having more than one tRNA (with a specific anti-codon) for a particular amino acid; and 'wobble' base-pairing, i.e. permitting non-standard base-pairing at the 3rd anti-codon position. The record is from RNAcentral. Lineage: Bacteria; Bacillati; Bacillota; Bacilli; Caryophanales; Paenibacillaceae.